Pezoporus flaviventris is the source of this 882-nucleotide long non-coding RNA. RefSeq lists it as uncharacterized. The transcript is spliced from 4 exons. The record is from RefSeq and is a predicted model, not a curated record. NCBI's taxonomy places the organism in Eukaryota, Metazoa, Chordata, Aves, Psittaciformes, Psittacidae.
CUCUGUGUUGGUUUCCUUUUUGCUCUUUAAAUAAUGGAAAUACUAAGAGGCCCUGGGAAAAGUGCAUGUUGACUUCCAUCCUUCAAAAAUACUUAAUAUAUUAAUUAACGGCUCUUGUCUCUCAACCUUGUUGGUCCAAGGUGUGUACAUUAGCAUCUACACUGAAGAUAAAGCUACCUUUAAUCUUGUGGCAGGCACAACUUUACUGACUCCAAAUAUUUGUAAACAGUCAUAUUUUCUGAUUGCCUUUUAAAGAGUAAAGUAGCAUGCAAACAAAUAUUACACAGCUUGUUAGUGCACCACUGGUGGGACUGUUUCAAGUGUAUUUAGAAAGGAAGAAACUUAUUUCUCACAAGCCUAUUUGCAGAAGAGAUCUUUGCUGAAUGCUUGACACAAAGACUUAUGAUAUCUGCUGAAAUGCAGGAAGUGAAAAGAGAUGCCGACCAUCUGAACUACAUGACAAAGCACACAGCAGGAAGGACACAGCAUGGAUCUGUGACAAUGACAGGCAGGAACAGCUCUGGAGCCUCUGACCAAGCACUGCAUGCAAAAUCUCUGUCCUGCAUCCUUCAGUGGCUAAGGUUCCCAGGAUGCUGGAAGGAAAAUCCAUGCACAGAGAGAAAACCCUGUGUGCCACCACCAUUACAACCACCUCUGCAACCUAUCAAACAGAAUAGGUUAAGAAACCCUACUUUGUAAAACAAGGAUGGUAGCAAAACCUCUAAAAUGGCACAGAGGCCACAGGGCCAAAUAAAGCUGAAGGUGAUUGGAAAACUGAGAUUGCAAUCACCAAAACUCUCUUUUUGCUGACUUUGAGACAGUUUCUUUUUCUUUCCCAUUUGUACUUGCCCACUGCUGGGAUUGCUUCCUCUCUGUGUCAGG